Molecule: long non-coding RNA, 962 nt
Organism: Apteryx haastii (Great spotted kiwi)
Lineage: Eukaryota; Metazoa; Chordata; Aves; Apterygiformes; Apterygidae
Source: Ensembl
CUGCCCGUGGGGUUUUGCACGCCCGGUUGCACGGGGACGCUGCAGGAAGGGGUUUUGCCCGUGGGGUUUUGCACGCCCAAUUGCACAGGGGCGCUGCAGCAAUGGUUUUUACACACCCGGUUGCACGGGGGCGCUGCAGGAAGGGGUUUUGCACUUGGGUUUUUGCGCACCCGGUUGCACGGGGGCGCUGCAGGAAGAGGUUUUGCACGCCUGGUUGCACGGGGGCACUGCAAGUGGGGUUCUGCCUGUGGGAUUUUGCACGCCCGGUUGCACGGGGACGCUGCAGUGAUGGUUUUUACACACCCGGUUGCACGGGGGUGCUGCAGGAAGGGGUUUUGCACUUGGGUUUCUGCGCGCCUGGUUGCACGGGGGUGCUGCAGGAAUGGUUUUUGCGCGCCCGGUUGCACGGGGGCGCUGCAGACGAGGUUUUGCGCGCCCAGUUGGAUGUGGGCAGUGCAGGCACGGUUUUGCACAUGGGGUUUUACAUGCCUGGAUGCACAGGAGGCCUCUAGCGGCGUUUGCUCGACGGUUAAUAUUCGCGGGGGCAGCGUGCAUCAGGAGAGCCUUGCUUUAAGGCCCGACGUAAGCUCCUGCGAUAGCGCGGCGACGAGCCGGGAGGUGGCCACGGCUGGCGGCGGAUUUGGGUCUCGCCGGGGCUCCUGCAAGACGCUCGCUUCUCCUUCGCGCCCCCCGGAGCGGCCUUGCUGCCAAGCCGGCUGCUUCUCGAAACUUGCGUCGUGCUCACGACCGCAGGCUGCGUCCAUCCUUGCUCUCCGUCGCCCGUCGGAAGCGCACGUGGCGGAUGCAAGAAAUUGAGUUAAGAGCAAUUACGGAAGGGCCGUUCCUGGAUGAUUUACAGCAGCGCAACAGCUGGAAAAGAAACGUCGCUGUCGGUCGCCCUGCAAACGCCGCGGGGGCUCGGUCCGAAAGCAGCUCGGUUAAAGCGGCGACCUGCAGCGAGG